AAUCAUGUGCGCGGGCCACGGGGGUCUGGACCAACCCCCCCCAGCGGGGGUGCUCCUGCGCCGGUGUCCUGGGUGCCCCCCCCCCCCGCCAGCCACCAGCCGGGAAGGGGAGAAAGGCAGCUCGCUGGGAGUGGGGCUGCUGUAACCUGGGGGGGGGGGGGCAGAAACGUCCCGUUCUGCGCUUUGAGGAAGGGGGGAUUCAUAGGGCGGGUUAAGGAUUGGCGGUAGCAGGACUGUCCUUUAUUGCUAACCCUUAGUCCGUGCCCGGUAUGCACGGCUCCGCUGCAGGUUCAGGACUGACCAAGUAAAGCAAGUUUGCAUUUUUCACCUCCGGACAGGACACACUGGGGAUCACCUUGAACAUCAUUUCCAUCUCCUUUGGCCUGCUGGUUAAAGAAAAGUCACAGGUGGAGUGACACCAGAUUACAUUUCUUCGUGGGAUAGUUUCGGGAACAACUGUCACACCAUGGAGGAUGCCUUGUUUCCCUCACUCCCAUUUUUGGUUCAUCUGUACAUCUUUGUCUUGCAUGCCGAGAAUAAGUGGUGAUUGGAGUCACAGAUGCAGGUACUUGUAUUAUGUAUCUGUUUUCAAAUUGUUCAUCUUCUGCAUCAUCAUCAGCUGUCAGAUUUUAUUACUCCAUCACCUGUAGAUGAACGGACUUUGCUACUAGUCAGAAAAUGGUCAGAGGAGGAGACUGCCUUAUAAUUUUUAACCCAGUCUUCUUAGCGUAUGCGCAACUGGCCACAGGUGGCACGUGACCAGGAUUCAUCACCAAAUUUGGUCCACUGUUUGGAUCAUUAGCUUCCCUGGCUUGGGACAGGGAGCGUGAUGUUAAAUUCCCUCCUUUGCCUGAUGUAAAGACAAAAGCUUAUGCUCAAAUAAAUUGGUUAGUCUCUAAGGUGCCACAAGUACUCCUUUUCUUUUUGAUUUUAACUUGAUUAUCCUACUGGGCUAAAGAGUGGCCCAGUCAUUGCACCAUGGGGUAAUCCCAGGUAGAUGACUUUCAAUCUCUCCUAUUAAAGCUGUUCCACUUUGUAUAAAUAAAUAUUCAUUGGACUAAGGAUUUGAACAUAGAUCUUCCACACUCCAGGCAAAUGCCUAACCCACUAUGCUGUAGAAUUGCUCUUAGUUCCUUGGUGCAAUGUCUAUUCAUUGUCAUUAUGAAUGACUCUGAAUUGCCACUGUGAUUUAUAAACUGCCCAUGUAACUACCUGCUAACUACCUCAUCCUCUGGCUGUUUUGUGAAUCUAGCUCUAUAAAAAUGAUAAAAAAUUCCAUUUUGGGUCAAACAUUUUGAUGAAAUCUUUUCACAGCUUUCGGAUUUAUUUCAUAUUGAAUCAAAAAUAUUUUUCAAUUUUUCUGAACUGCCAUGAGUCAAUGAGCUAUGUGCUUCCAGCCAGCCUCUUUCUCUCUCUCUGAACCAAGAAGGGAAGGUUGGGCAUUUUAGUCCCUAGGACAGUUAGGACUACAGUCCAGGGCACUGGCAAGGCCUUUUGGGAAAGGGGUUGGGUUUUUCAGAACAGGAAGAGAUGCAGAGGAAGUCAGAGGGGCAAAGGAGCCUCUUCCAGAAAAAGGGAUAAGUAACUCAUUCUUGUUUGUUUGUUUUUCAUUUUGUAUAUACUGAGCUUUUAUUUGAAAAGUCUUUGAGGCUGACCUAUCUGGGGAGAGGCUGGGCUACCUUCACAAAGACUGAGGGCAAGAGAGCCCUGAUAGGGGAAGUGUCUUGUUUGUUUUGGAAAAGAACUCCACAGGUAUGGACCUUUGUUUGGUUUGGUCUGGUCUGCCACAACAGGUACAGUCAGCACAAUUUAGCUUGAACCCUUGUUAAGUAGAAGGAAACAUGGAGGAGGUUCUAAAAUCCCUGGUUCAACAGGAGCAACCAAGAAGAGCAGCAGUGAGACAGUUGGCUAAGCAAGAACAAUAGCAACAAUUUAUGAGAGCAGCCAAGAGGCCCUUGAACAGCUCCUAGAGCAGCUCAGACAACAGCUUGCUAUUUCUGGGCUACUCACAGAUCUAAAUCUGCUGGCCAGUUUGGAAGUUAGAGCCAAUCUGACUAUAUAAUAUUGAGGUAUAUUUGGCUCCCUCUGAGAGGAUUGCCAUAGUAGCCUAUGGGGAUUUGCUUUGUUCCUGAAACAAAUAGCUCAGAUGGCUUGUCUGGGUGUGAACUAAGAUUUGGCCCAGAAUUUUGACCUCUGGGGAGAAAUAAGGCAUCCUAGACUGGAAUAGGGAUCUUUGAGGAGACUUUGCCUAUGAGAACAAGCACCUUAAUAGAGGCUAUACAGCCAUCCAAGUAACUGACGAAAUUGUCGUAUUCUGUUCCAUAGUCCUGGAGGAAUAGGAAAGGUGGGUCUGAACAUUUAGUCUGGCUGCUGGUGCAGAAACAUAUUAAAGGUCUCCUGGAGAUGAUAAUUGAGGAGGAGAACUUGAACGUGCCUCUUAUGAAGAGCUUCCCUGUGCGUGGCUAGUAGGGGGGAUGCUCUGUCAGGACUUUAUAUCUAUACCUCUUUGAGGUAGACUAACAAAGUACCAUCCUGCAACUUGAGGAACUUUGAGGUAGACUAACAAAGUACCAUCCUGCAACUUGGACACAAAGAACAGGAUAUUUAUUCAGGUUAUACAUUCAUUAGAGGCCCUAUGGUGGGUGCAAUGGACAGGACUUCUGGGGUUACAUGGUGUCUCCACAUUGCUGCAAAAUAAUGUCUAGCCUGGUAGACUUGGGUUGUCCCCAAAUCAUAGAGUCUAUCUGAUAUUGCUGGACUUUCUACAAAUCACAGAUCCCAUCCUCAUCUCCAUGGGUGGAGACAGCCAUAAACCUGAUGUGAGUGGGAGAUCAAGGGAGGAUUCUGGGUGGGAUCUCCAAAAUUGUUCUCUGGUCUGUGGUUAUAAGGAGGGAUUGGAAGCAUAGCCACAUUCUAGCGGGGCUGGUAAUUAUGCCUUGUCCUGAUCCUAUCUUAAAAGAAAGGACAUUGCCUGAGGGAAUUCUGUGUAGUGUUUCGCUGUUGUAAAUUCAGAUUGUGAAGAUCCACCCCAUCUACAAAAAUCCAGGAAUUAAAGCACAAGGUUUUGUGGGUGGGGUUGUUUGUGAGUUUGAUUGGGGAAGAUGGAGUGAGGCUUUGUCCAACUGGAUUGAUUGGGAAAUGAGGCUUCUGACUUAGGUGUCAGAACUACAAAAGAUUCUUCUUGUAACAUCUUAACAAAUUCCUUUGAUGUAGUAGCUGAGCAGUGGCAGGUAGUUGGUGCAUCAUCUGAUAUCGUGAGUAAAGUAACAGAAUACACUAAAAGGUUAAUACCAUAUAUAUCUCCUGUAGGUCUAAAAUAAAUCACGUCAAUGACAGUUGGUUUUCAAGUAAGAGGUAGUCUGGAAUCCAGGUAUAGCAUGUUAAAUUAUGCAGAUAUGUUCUAGCUAGCAAGAAUACUAAACAUACUUUUCAUCUGAUCAUCAAUGUUAUAUUAUAAUACAAGAAAGGGAUACAGCAAGUAGAAAUAUAAUUUUGAAGUAUGUUGCAUCAGAACUAGUGCUUUUAGAGUUAAUCUGUAGGUAAGAAAAGAGAUUCAAACAGAUAUUGCUGUCUGCACUGUCUUAGGCAGUGAUGCCAUCAUUAUCUGUUAAAAGAAAUACAGAACAUGAAUUUAGAACUUGGAUGAUAAGUGAAGUAGAUGGUGACUUUCAGAUAUAUUGUUUUAGAAUGUUAAAGGUGUCUGUAAUUUCUAAACUUAAAUACUCUGGUUAAAUUUCAUCAAUUACAGUCAUGUGGCGUUACACUGGGGAUGAAUUUGACCCAUUAUGUUACCGAGUUUCUUUGUUUAUAAGCCUUAAAGUUCAUAUUUGAUUCUAUGACAACAGGAAGUCUGAGAUCAAGCACUAACUGAAUUUGGGGAGGCUCUUCAGCCAGUAUAGACUGCUGUAAGCUUAUGCAGCUUGUCACAUAAAUGAGGUUUCCAAUAACUUGCCACAAUUAAUGUUUGCCAGAGGAUUCUGUGGUUAUAACAGACAAUGACUUCAGCAGAACAUCAUUCAUUACUGAGGCUGGUUUGAUUGCUGCACUGAGGAUCUUGCUCUCUGGAAACCCCACCAUUUUACUCUGCUACCUCUGCCUAGCAGGAUAAAGUAUUCUCAAGCUUUCAGUCCAGUUGAUUCUUGUCAAAGAUUACUGACCCAGUUGGCUGCCCAUUUCAACUCAAAACACAGUGAACUUCUAAGGCACUUUGAGAUUUGACUCUUCGAGACAGACAAUAGCAAUAACUGCCUGGUGACUUUAUGUUGCAGUUCACCGUCACUCUUCGUGACCAAGCAGCUGCGUCCGACGUCUGCUCCUUGACAGAUGGACUUUUUAGAAACGAAAUAAUCCAAUGAACUGCAAGGGAAAGCCUCAGGGAAUGUUGCUCUUUCUGCCAGAUGACUUGAUAUCUGCCAAGCAGUAACCAUCACUGACUAUGGGAAGAGCCAUGAUCCAGGAAGAACAAGAAGCUGGAGCUGCCACUAUUGAAAUAGCGGUGACAGAGAUUCAGAAAUUCUGGACUGUGGGCUCAGUUUCAGGCGUAUGAGUUCACUGUAGAACUAUGGCCUAAGAACACAUGAUACUAGUGCUGCCGUGCCUGGUGAGCAGAAAAUGGUGCUACCUCUGAUGUUCCAAUCGCCUACGUGACUGUCGCAAGUCCAUGCCAAAUGUGUUAUAUUUUUACAUAUCAGAAUCCAUUCCUGGGGCCUUUACUAUUAAUCAUGUGUAUGUGCUUCCAUAAAUGUACAUGGUACUGUAGUAUGCUGCUGUGAUGCUAUCUUGGGGUGCCCAGGACUGUGAGACAGCUGGUUACACCCCUGCCAGUGCAAGAGAGACUUGUUUGUCCUUAACUGAAUGUCCGCUCCCUGACACCAUGUGGUGUUUAGAUGCUGCUUGUAAUUAUUAGAACUGGGAGCACUGGCUGUUGGGAGUCUGAAAGGACAGGAAACAGGAAGGAGGGGGGAGGAGUUGAGGAGGCUGAGUGAGAGCUAUCGAGGGUGCAGCAGCAGCUUGGUAAAAAGGUUUCCACUUUAACAAUAAAGUUCUGUUGAAGUUUGUUA
This is a long non-coding RNA of Caretta caretta (loggerhead turtle), 5060 nucleotides long. RefSeq lists it as uncharacterized. NCBI's taxonomy places the organism in Eukaryota, Metazoa, Chordata, Testudines, Cheloniidae. The record is from RefSeq and is a predicted model, not a curated record.